This 356-nucleotide RNase P RNA is filed under the name human gut metagenome. RNAcentral describes it as "Bacterial RNase P class A". It matches the Rfam family "Bacterial RNase P class A". Rfam says of the family: Ribonuclease P (RNase P) is a ubiquitous endoribonuclease, found in archaea, bacteria and eukarya as well as chloroplasts and mitochondria. Its best characterised activity is the generation of mature 5'-ends of tRNAs by cleaving the 5'-leader elements of precursor-tRNAs. The record is from RNAcentral.
GAGUAGGCUGGACAGUCGCGGGGACAAGGCGAAAGCCUGUUCAUGAGGAAAGUCCGGGCUCCACAGGGCAAGAAUAACGGGUAACGCCCGCCGAAGGCGACUUCAGGAAAAGUGCAACAGAGAUAUACCGCCUCGUCCGCCUGCGCAAGGAGGCGGCGGGGUAAGGGUGGAAAGGCGAGGUAAGAGCUCACCCGACGGCGUGUGAAAGCGUCCGUCGCUGUAAACUCUAUUCGGAGCAACACCGGUAUGGGAGCGCAUGGCCGGCCCGGCCGCUCCCGGGGUGGCUUGAGCGUACCGGCAACGGUGCGCCUAGAUAGAUGACUGUCGAAACAGAACCCGGCUUAUAGGCCUGCUCG